GGGCUCGAGAUAACUCCAACCCAAUGUGACGUUACCAAACUGUUGCCUCGGCGGGAUCUCUGCCCCGGGUGCGUCGCAGCCCCGGACCAAGGCGCCCGCCGGAGGACCAACCAAAACUCUUAUUGUAUACCCCCUCGCGGGUUUUUUACUAUCUGAGCCAUCUCGGCGCCCCUCGUGGGCGUUUCGAAAAUGAAUCAAAACUUUCAACAACGGAUCUCUUGGUUCUGGCAUCGAUGAAGAACGCAGCGAAAUGCGAUAAGUAAUGUGAAUUGCAGAAUUCAGUGAAUCAUCGAAUCUUUGAACGCACAUUGCGCCCGCCAGUAUUCUGGCGGGCAUGCCUGUCCGAGCGUCAUUUCAACCCUCGAACCCCUCCGGGGGGUCGGCGUUGGGGAUCGGCCCUUUACGGGGCCGGCCCCGAAAUACAGUGGCGGUCUCGCCGCAGCCUCUCCUGCGCAGUAGUUUGCACACUCGCAUCGGGAGCGCGGCGCGUCCACAGCCGUUAAACACCCCAAACUUCUGAAAUGUUGACCUCGGAUCAGGUAGGAAUACCCGCUGAACUUAAGCAUAUCAAUAAGCGGGAGGAA
Molecule: ribosomal RNA, 584 nt
Filed under: Trichoderma virens
Lineage: Eukaryota; Fungi; Ascomycota; Sordariomycetes; Hypocreales; Hypocreaceae
Description: eukaryotic LSU rRNA
Rfam family: 5.8S ribosomal RNA (bases 199-352)
Source: RNAcentral